RNAcentral lists this non-coding RNA (525 nucleotides) under Cricetulus griseus (Chinese hamster). RNAcentral's name for it is "Eukaryotic small subunit ribosomal RNA". It matches the Rfam family "Eukaryotic small subunit ribosomal RNA", at positions 625 to 1113 of the family's 1831-position model. The record is from Rfam by way of RNAcentral. Lineage: Eukaryota; Metazoa; Chordata; Mammalia; Rodentia; Cricetidae.
ACCUUGUAAUUGAAACUACUUUCCUGUGGAACAUCAAUAUUCUUGUUUCUCUGUGUUAAGCACACAGAAUAAAGAAUCAGGAUGAUGCCCCACAACAUUUGCCUAGGUAUUAGAAAGCCAUCCUGAGGUACAUGGAAGGAAAUCGUGAUUUAUGUGGCCCCAAGAUAAGAUGGAAAAAGAGAUAAAUGGAAAUACAAACUGUGAGCAGUUUCUGCUAUGAACUGUAAACAUCAAUGCAGACUUUUUUGACAGAUGGAGUGGUUCUAUUUUGUUGGUUUUCGGAACUGAGAUCAUAAUUAAGAGGGGUGCUUGGGACAUACGUAUUGUGCCACUAAAGGUGAAAUUUUUGGACUAGUGCAAGACAGACCUAGGGAAAGCAUUUGUCAAGAAUGUUUUCAUUAAUCAAGAAUGUCGGAGGUUUGAAGAUGAUCAGAUACAAUUCUAGCUCCGACCACAAACAAUGCCGACUGGAGAUGCAGUGGUGUUGUUUCAGGGGUAGCUUCCUGAUACCUAAGUGUUUGGGUU